RNAcentral lists this transfer RNA (78 nucleotides) under Methanoculleus sp. SDB. Its description in RNAcentral is "tRNA-Tyr". It matches the Rfam family "tRNA". Rfam says of the family: Transfer RNA (tRNA) molecules are approximately 80 nucleotides in length. RNAcentral also lists the same sequence under 1 other name. The record is from RNAcentral. Lineage: Archaea; Methanobacteriati; Methanobacteriota; Methanomicrobia; Methanomicrobiales; Methanomicrobiaceae.
GGUUCCCGAGUGGUCAAAGGGAGCAGACUGUAAAUCUGUUGCCGGACGGCUUCGUAGGUUCGAAUCCUACCCUCGCCA